UGCCUACGGGGCGCAGCAGUGGGGAAUAUUGCGCAAUGGGGGAAACCCUGACGCAGCAACGCCGCGUGAGUGAGGAAGUAUCUCGGUAUGUAAAGCUCUAUCAGCGGGGAAGAAAGAGGACGGUACCCGACUAAGAAGCCCCGGCUAACUACGUGCCAGCAGCCGCGGUAAUACGUAGGGGGCGAGCGUUAUCCGGAUUUACUGGGUGUAAAGGGAGCGUAGACGGCGUCGCAAGUCUGAAGUGAAAGCCCGUGGCUCAACCGCGGAACCGCUUUGGAAACUGCGAGGCUGGAGUGCUGGAGAGG
Molecule: ribosomal RNA, 305 nt
Filed under: uncultured bacterium
Lineage: Bacteria
Description: bacterial SSU rRNA
Rfam family: Bacterial small subunit ribosomal RNA
Source: RNAcentral